This 514-nucleotide unclassified non-coding RNA is filed under the name plant metagenome. Its description in RNAcentral is "partial contains small subunit ribosomal RNA, internal transcribed spacer 1, and 5.8S ribosomal RNA". The record is from RNAcentral.
UUUCCGUAGGUGAACCUGCGGAGGGAUCAUUCACAUGCAUCCAACCUCUAUCAACCAACUGUGAACUGUUUUGCCGUGUGAAUCAAACGAGUGGAGAUGUUAGUGUAUAUGUAUAUGGGAUCUGAAUGGAGUCAGCUUGCUGACUGAGACCAUCUAACUAGGAGCGAAUUUCUUUUUUUCGCUCCGCGCUCUCUCUCUCUCUCUCUCUCUUUGCUAAGCCGGCCCUAUCUCUAGACUAUCAAUGAUUGUUGAUCUCCAUCUCAAUCACUUUCAUUCUCUGAAGGUCUUAGGGGACCCCCCCCCCCACAACAACAAACCACCUCCGCAUUAUUUGAAUUUGGCACUCGUGUGUCAGAUUGUUAGAAUGUCGAAUAUUCGAUAACACCAAUGAUAGCAUCUUUUUUAGUUCCUCGGAACGGCGGAUGCUUGACUCUGUCUAUCAUUUUCAUGAUAGUCUAACAGUAGUCAUUCUUAACAUAGAAAACAACUCUAUGCCCUGGAUAUCUUGGUUCUC